AUCUCAUGAUUUGGACACUUUCUCAUCAACUCCUUUAAACUGUUCCAGGCCUCAUGAUAGCUUUCCCCAUCUUUUUAUUGAAAGGUUUGAAUUUUCAGUCUAAUUUU
This 107-nucleotide small nucleolar RNA is filed under the name Olea europaea subsp. europaea. RNAcentral describes it as "Plant small nucleolar RNA R71". It matches the Rfam family "Plant small nucleolar RNA R71". From Rfam's summary of the family: R71 is a member of the C/D box family of snoRNAs containing the C (UGAUGA) and D (CUGA) box motifs. Multiple nearly identical copies of this snoRNA have been identified in Arabidopsis, and it is thought to function as a 2'-O-ribose methylation guide for 18S ribosomal RNA. Lineage: Eukaryota; Viridiplantae; Streptophyta; Magnoliopsida; Lamiales; Oleaceae. The record is from Rfam by way of RNAcentral.